RNAcentral lists this ribosomal RNA (439 nucleotides) under uncultured bacterium. RNAcentral's name for it is "partial 16S ribosomal RNA". It matches the Rfam family "Bacterial small subunit ribosomal RNA", at positions 339 to 795 of the family's 1533-position model. The record is from RNAcentral.
CUACGGGGGGCUCCAGUGGGGAAUAUUGCACAAUGGACGAAAGUCUGAUGCAGCAACGCCGCGUGGAGGAUGACACAUUUCGGUGCGUAAACUCCUUUUAUAUAGGAAGAUAAUGACGGUACUAUAUGAAUAAGCGCCGGCUAACUCCGUGCCAGCAGCCGCGGUAAUACGGAGGGCGCAAGCGUUACUCGGAAUCACUGGGCGUAAAGAGCGUGUAGGCGGAUAGAUAAGUCAGGAGUGAAAUCCUAUGGCUCAACCAUAGAACUGCCCUUGAAACUGUCUAUCUAGAAUAUGGGAGAGGUAGAUGGAAUUUCUGGUGUAGGGGUAAAAUCCGUAGAGAUCAGAAGGAAUACCGAUUGCGAAGGCGAUCUACUGGAACAUUAUUGACGCUGAGACGCGAAAGCGUGGGGAGCAAAUAGGAUUAGAUACCCGAGUAGUC